This 484-nucleotide ribosomal RNA is filed under the name uncultured bacterium. RNAcentral's name for it is "partial 16S ribosomal RNA". It matches the Rfam family "Bacterial small subunit ribosomal RNA", at positions 29 to 507 of the family's 1533-position model. The record is from RNAcentral.
AUUGAACGCUGGCGGCAUGCUUUACACAUGCAAGUCGAACGGCAGCGCGGGCUUCGGCCUGGCGGCGAGUGGCGAACGGGUGAGUAAUGCAUCGGAACGUGCCCAGUAGUGGGGGAUAGCCCGGCGAAAGCCGGAUUAAUACCGCAUACGACCUGAGGGUGAAAGCGGGGGACCGAAAGGCCUCGCGCUAUUGGAGCGGCCGAUGUCGAAUUAGCUAGUUGGUGGGGUAAAGGCUUACCAAGGCGACGAUCCGUAGCUGGUCUGAGAGGACGACCAGCCACACUGGGACUGAGACACGGCCCAGACUCCUACGGGAGGCAGCAGUGGGGAAUUUUGGACAAUGGGGGCAACCCUGAUCCAGCCAUGCCGCGUGCGGGAAGAAGGCCUUCGGGUUGUAAACCGCUUUUGUUCGGGAAGAAAUCCUCUGGGCUAAUACCCCGGGGGGAUGACGGUACCGGAAGAAUAAGCACCGGCUAACUACGUG